Molecule: unclassified non-coding RNA, 386 nt
Filed under: uncultured fungus
Lineage: Eukaryota; Fungi
Description: partial contains small subunit ribosomal RNA, internal transcribed spacer 1, and 5.8S ribosomal RNA
Rfam family: Eukaryotic small subunit ribosomal RNA (bases 1-73)
Source: RNAcentral
UCAAACUUGGUCAUUUAGAGGAAGUAAAAGUCGUAACAAGGUUUCCGUAGGUGAACCUGCGGAAGGAUCAUUAUUGAAUGAACUUGGUUGGGCUGUUGCUGGCUCUUAGGGGCAUGUGCACGCCUGACACCAAUUUCUUUAACCAACUGUGCACCUUGUGUAGACCUUUGGAAAAAAAAUUUUGCUCUGGAGGUGAAACCCAGUACUUUUUUUUGGGAUUGCAGGAUUAAAAAGUCCAGCUCUUCCUGGGUUUCCAAGGGUCUAUGUCCUUUUCAACAUCUCUGUAUGUCAUUGAAACUAUGGAAAAGGCAGUUUAAUGCCUUUAAAAUUGUAAUACAACUUUCAACAACGGAUCUCUUGGCUCUCGCAUCGAUGAAGAACGCAGC